This 2810-nucleotide ribosomal RNA is filed under the name Escherichia coli. Its description in RNAcentral is "bacterial LSU rRNA". It matches the Rfam family "Bacterial large subunit ribosomal RNA". The record is from RNAcentral. Lineage: Bacteria; Pseudomonadati; Pseudomonadota; Gammaproteobacteria; Enterobacterales; Enterobacteriaceae.
GGGUUGUGAGGUUAAGCGACUAAGCGUACACGGUGGAUGCCCUGGCAGUCAGAGGCGAUGAAGGACGUGCUAAUCUGCGAUAAGCGUCGGUAAGGUGAUAUGAACCGUUAUAACCGGCGAUUUCCGAAUGGGGAAACCCAGUGUGAUUCGUCACACUAUCAUUAACUGAAUCCAUAGGUUAAUGAGGCGAACCGGGGGAACUGAAACAUCUAAGUACCCCGAGGAAAAGAAAUCAACCGAGAUUCCCCCAGUAGCGGCGAGCGAACGGGGAGCAGCCCAGAGCCUGAAUCAGUGUGUGUGUUAGUGGAAGCGUCUGGAAAGGCGUGCGAUACAGGGUGACAGCCCCGUACACAAAAAUGCACAUACUGUGAGCUCGAUGAGUAGGGCGGGACACGUGGUAUCCUGUCUGAAUAUGGGGGGACCAUCCUCCAAGGCUAAAUACUCCUGACUGACCGAUAGUGAACCAGUACCGUGAGGGAAAGGCGAAAAGAACCCCGGCGAGGGGAGUGAAAAAGAACCUGAAACCGUGUACGUACAAGCAGUGGGAGCCUCUUAAUGGGGUGACUGCGUACCUUUUGUAUAAUGGGUCAGCGACUUAUAUUCUGUAGCAAGGUUAACCGAAUAGGGGAGCCGAAGGGAAACCGAGUCUUAACUGGGCGUUAAGUUGCAGGGUAUAGACCCGAAACCCGGUGAUCUAGCCAUGGGCAGGUUGAAGGUUGGGUAACACUAACUGGAGGACCGAACCGACUAAUGUUGAAAAAUUAGCGGAUGACUUGUGGCUGGGGGUGAAAGGCCAAUCAAACCGGGAGAUAGCUGGUUCUCCCCGAAAGCUAUUUAGGUAGCGCCUCGUGAAUUCAUCUCCGGGGGUAGAGCACUGUUUCGGCAAGGGGGUCAUCCCGACUUACCAACCCGAUGCAAACUGCGAAUACCGGAGAAUGUUAUCACGGGAGACACACGGCGGGUGCUAACGUCCGUCGUGAAGAGGGAAACAACCCAGACCGCCAGCUAAGGUCCCAAAGUCAUGGUUAAGUGGGAAACGAUGUGGGAAGGCCCAGACAGCCAGGAUGUUGGCUUAGAAGCAGCCAUCAUUUAAAGAAAGCGUAAUAGCUCACUGGUCGAGUCGGCCUGCGCGGAAGAUGUAACGGGGCUAAACCAUGCACCGAAGCUGCGGCAGCGACACUAUGUGUUGUUGGGUAGGGGAGCGUUCUGUAAGCCUGUGAAGGUGUACUGUGAGGUAUGCUGGAGGUAUCAGAAGUGCGAAUGCUGACAUAAGUAACGAUAAAGCGGGUGAAAAGCCCGCUCGCCGGAAGACCAAGGGUUCCUGUCCAACGUUAAUCGGGGCAGGGUGAGUCGACCCCUAAGGCGAGGCCGAAAGGCGUAGUCGAUGGGAAACAGGUUAAUAUUCCUGUACUUGGUGUUACUGCGAAGGGGGGACGGAGAAGGCUAUGUUGGCCGGGCGACGGUUGUCCCGGUUUAAGCGUGUAGGCUGGUUUUCCAGGCAAAUCCGGAAAAUCAAGGCUGAGGCGUGAUGACGAGGCACUACGGUGCUGAAGCAACAAAUGCCCUGCUUCCAGGAAAAGCCUCUAAGCAUCAGGUAACAUCAAAUCGUACCCCAAACCGACACAGGUGGUCAGGUAGAGAAUACCAAGGCGCUUGAGAGAACUCGGGUGAAGGAACUAGGCAAAAUGGUGCCGUAACUUCGGGAGAAGGCACGCUGAUAUGUAGGUGAAGUCCCUCGCGGAUGGAGCUGAAAUCAGUCGAAGAUACCAGCUGGCUGCAACUGUUUAUUAAAAACACAGCACUGUGCAAACACGAAAGUGGACGUAUACGGUGUGACGCCUGCCCGGUGCCGGAAGGUUAAUUGAUGGGGUUAGCGGUAACGCGAAGCUCUUGAUCGAAGCCCCGGUAAACGGCGGCCGUAACUAUAACGGUCCUAAGGUAGCGAAAUUCCUUGUCGGGUAAGUUCCGACCUGCACGAAUGGCGUAAUGAUGGCCAGGCUGUCUCCACCCGAGACUCAGUGAAAUUGAACUCGCUGUGAAGAUGCAGUGUACCCGCGGCAAGACGGAAAGACCCCGUGAACCUUUACUAUAGCUUGACACUGAACAUUGAGCCUUGAUGUGUAGGAUAGGUGGGAGGCUUUGAAGUGUGGACGCCAGUCUGCAUGGAGCCGGCCUUGAAAUACCACCCUUUAAUGUUUGAUGUUCUAACGUUGGCCCCUGAUCGGGGUUGCGGACAGUGUCUGGUGGGUAGUUUGACUGGGGCGGUCUCCUCCUAAAGAGUAACGGAGGAGCACGAAGGUUGGCUAAUCCUGGUCGGACAUCAGGAGGUUAGUGCAAUGGCAUAAGCCAGCUUGACUGCGAGCGUGACGGCGCGAGCAGGUGCGAAAGCAGGUCAUAGUGAUCCGGUGGUUCUGAAUGGAAGGGCCAUCGCUCAACGGAUAAAAGGUACUCCGGGGAUAACAGGCUGAUACCGCCCAAGAGUUCAUAUCGACGGCGGUGUUUGGCACCUCGAUGUCGGCUCAUCACAUCCUGGGGCUGAAGUAGGUCCCAAGGGUAUGGCUGUUCGCCAUUUAAAGUGGUACGCGAGCUGGGUUUAGAACGUCGUGAGACAGUUCGGUCCCUAUCUGCCGUGGGCGCUGGAGAACUGAGGGGGGCUGCUCCUAGUACGAGAGGACCGGAGUGGACGCAUCACUGGUGUUCGGGUUGUCAUGCCAAUGGCACUGCCCGGUAGCUAAAUGCGGAAGAGAUAAGUGCUGAAAGCAUCUAAGCACGAAACUUGCCCCGAGAUGAGUUCUCCCUGACUCCUUGAG